Molecule: long non-coding RNA, 584 nt
Organism: Pelmatolapia mariae (spotted tilapia)
Lineage: Eukaryota; Metazoa; Chordata; Actinopteri; Cichliformes; Cichlidae
Exons: 3
Source: RefSeq, a predicted model, not a curated record
GUUUCUCUCUGACAGUCUGCUGAGAGUGUUUGCAAAGUGAUCGGGGCAACAGGGCACAAAAGCUAAAGGAUGUAGCUGCCAUGAUGACAUUAAGGAUGACAUUAAUGCUCGAAGGGAGUCCCUCAUCAAAGUGCUCCGCAUCUGAGUGAAAGACAAUUGCAACAUCUUGGUGCAGGAGUUCAUGGACUUGACUGAGGCCACUGCACAGAUUGAGAAAACCACAAUGAACAUCUGUCUCCAGAGAUGCGCCAGGCAAUGACUUUUCUGAUGUUGGCAUCAUCAUCGAGGGUAUAGUAGUUCUUCAAGAUCUGGAUAACGCGACCUUUGCAGUAGCCAUGCUGUUUGGACCUUUUUUAUUCCUUCAAUAUGAGUUACCCAUCACAACUCUGCUACACUUUUGAGGUGAUUCAAAGGGUGGUAAUGGAGUUGGAUGCAACUCAGCUCUCAAGAAAAGCUCACAACUAAGACAAAACUGCUCCUGCAAGGAAAGCUCACUGUUAUGCAUGUGAGGGGAUCAGCUCUAGGUGAGAGGACAUGUAAAUCUUGCACUUGUUCUGCUGCAUUUUGGAAGCUCAAUUCCAGGA